Molecule: non-coding RNA, 205 nt
Organism: Parasteatoda tepidariorum (common house spider)
Lineage: Eukaryota; Metazoa; Arthropoda; Arachnida; Araneae; Theridiidae
Source: RefSeq, a predicted model, not a curated record
AGAUAAUUAGUGCGGCAGAUCCUGUUCUGGCCAAAAUGCUAACAGUUGUACAAGGAGAAGACUGGAAGAGAAUUCGUUCAAUAGUAUCACCGACAUUUUCUUCUGGCAAACUGAAGCGCGUUUUCAGCAUCUUUCAAGAUUGCUCUAAAACAUUGAUACAGAAUUUUAUGAAAUCGUACGAACAUGAUAUUUCAAUCGAUGUUUU